Molecule: small nuclear RNA, 107 nt
Organism: Schistocerca serialis cubense
Lineage: Eukaryota; Metazoa; Arthropoda; Insecta; Orthoptera; Acrididae
Source: RefSeq, a predicted model, not a curated record
GUACUCGGUUCGGCAGCACAUGUACUAAAACUGGAACUAUACAGAGAAGGUUAGCAUGGCCCCUGCGUAAGGAUGACAAAAACAGUGGUAAAGCGUGCGGCAGGACU